UACAUUUGCCCUUUUCCAGUCUGCUGGAAUCUCUCCCAUCUUCCAUGACUUUUCAACUAUAAUAACCAAAGUAAAACUAGCCCAUUGGGUCUGUGAGCAGACAUCAGCGAUAAAGGGGUGCAGGAUCCAGAAAAGAGAAGCCAGUAGUGAACACUGACCGUGGACAACAGAUGAAACAGACAGACGAACUAUUGCAAGAAGGUGUGGAUACAACAGUACAUUGAGAGCCGAGAAGGAAGGACUGUGCUGGAGUACUAAUUCUGAACAUGGCACUAGGUCUUUCAUGAACCCAAGGAGCUGAUAUAUUUCCAGAAACCCACCCCAUGGUACAUGCUCAGGUACUUCCAAUUUAAUGCAACCGCAAAUCUGAGAACUGUUGGGCACCCUAAGUUUGGUACAAUUCCCAAAAGAGGUUUUACUAUAUCCCACUUACAUGACAUUUCUGUUUUUUCUCUGCAUCCCACAGGUGCAGCCUGAUAGUUAAGGCACAUUUCUGAAAUUACUGCUUGAAAUAUACCUGCCUUGUUCGAUCUUUCUUUGACCCACUUGAGCACACAGCACGGUUCUUCCUUGAUCAUUAAAACAGAAAUGGGGUCAUUUUGUUCCAAAGGAUCCAGGGUGGCCAUGGGAUCCUCUGUGGCAUAAU
Long non-coding RNA from Mauremys reevesii (Reeves's turtle), 646 nucleotides. RefSeq lists it as uncharacterized. The transcript is spliced from 3 exons. NCBI's taxonomy places the organism in Eukaryota, Metazoa, Chordata, Testudines, Geoemydidae. The record is from RefSeq and is a predicted model, not a curated record.